RNAcentral lists this unclassified non-coding RNA (420 nucleotides) under soil metagenome. RNAcentral describes it as "partial contains 5.8S ribosomal RNA, internal transcribed spacer 2, and large subunit ribosomal RNA". The stretch from base 1 to 120 matches the Rfam family "5.8S ribosomal RNA", at positions 35 to 154 of the family's 154-position model. The record is from RNAcentral.
GAUGAAGAACGCAGCGAAAUGCGAUAAGUAAUGUGAAUUGCAGAAUUCAGUGAAUCAUCGAAUCUUUGAACGCACCUUGCGCUCCUUGGUAUUCCUUGGAGCAUGCCUGUUUGAGUAUCAUGAAAUCUUCAAAGUCAAACCUUUUGUUAAUUCAAUUGGUUCUGCUUUGGUAUUGGAGGAUUAUUGCAGCUUCACACCUGCUCCUCUUUGUGCAUUAGCUGGAUCUCAGUGUUAUGCUUGGUUCCACUCAGCGUGAUAAGUUAUCUAUCGCUGAGGACACCCUGUUAAAAAGGGGUGGCCAAGGUAAAUGCAGAUGAACCGCUUCUAAUAGUCCAUUGACUUGGACAAUAUCUAAUUUAUGAUCUGAUCUCAAAUCAGGUAGGACUACCCGCUGAACUUAAGCAUAUCAAUAAGCGGAGA